Long non-coding RNA from Chenopodium quinoa (quinoa), 1032 nucleotides. RefSeq lists it as uncharacterized. Lineage: Eukaryota; Viridiplantae; Streptophyta; Magnoliopsida; Caryophyllales; Amaranthaceae. The record is from RefSeq and is a predicted model, not a curated record. The transcript is spliced from 3 exons.
GAUAAAUCAAAUAGUCUCUUGGAUGAUGAUGAUAUAUUCAAGGAUGUUGAUGUUGAUGAUAGCCUAAAUCGACCAUCGAUGGAGAUUGAUAAUUAUUUGAAUACUCCUCGUCAACCAUCAAUUGAAGGGCAGAAUUAUGAUGUUCUCAAGUAUUGGGAAUCUCAAAUUAAUGUGUACCCCAUAUUAGCUAUUAUGGCUAGGGAUGUUUUGGCCAUUCCUAUUACAUCGGUAGCCUCUGAGUCUUCUUUUAGCAUGGGUGGUCGUAUUUUAAACAAGUAUAGGAGUGCACUUUUGCCUAAGAAUGUUGAGGCGUUGGUUACCACACAAAAUUGGUUACGUGGUUAUGAUUGUGAUAUUGAAGAAGACGUCCUUGAAAUUGGUAAAGAGGUGAUAGAUGAAAGUUUUGCAUCUAAUUAGAAAGUUCUGCCAUUCUGCUGCUGCAGUCUGCAGUGCUGCUGAUCUGCCAUUCUGCUGCAGACUGUGGUGCUGGUGUUAAUCUUGUUAUGCUAAAAACUUGUACAAUUCUGUUGUUAAAACUUGUUUGUAUGGAUUGGUUGGUUUGAUUUUGUUACUUUGUUGUUAAAAAUUGUUUAAUUAUGUGUAUGGAUUGGAUUAGUUUGUUUUGGUUUUGUAAAGUUGAAACUUGUUGAAUUAGAAGUUUUAUAACUUGUUAAUGCUAUUAAUCCUAUUAUGCUACUGGAAUACUGCUAUGUUGAUGAAUAAGGCCCAAAAGGCCAAAAAAUUGUAGGUUAUUGCCCAAAACCAAAAUUGCAGAUUAUUCCCCAAAAACCAAAUUAAAGUCAAUACUCACGAAUUAGCUAACGAAGUGCUAUUUCUAAGGGACUUUAGUAUUAACUAAGUUACUAAGAUAUAUACAAUUAAUAUGAUAAGUACAUGGUCUCAAGAAAAAUUGAUAAGUAUGGAAUAUAUGCUAAAUAUAUUCUAAGAUUUCUAAUAUUUAAUCCAUAUAAUUACAUAAAAAAGUGCACCAAAAAAAAAUUAUUAUUACAUACAAAAAAAGCUUGUAAACGG